GAUGAACGCUAGCUACAGGGCUUAACACAUGCAAGUCGCGGGGCAGCAUGUAUCUGGCUUGCCAGAUACGAUGGCGACCGGCGCACGGGUGAGUAACGCGUAUCCAACCUGCCCAUAACCACGGCACAGCCCGUCGAAAGGCGGAUUAAUGCCGUAUGAGGUUCCAGAGUAGCAUUAUUAUGGAACGAAAGGAUUGGCGGUUAUGGAUGGGGAUGCGUCCGAUUAGCUUGUUGGCGGGGUAACGGCCCACCAAGGCGACGAUCGGUAGGGGUUCUGAGAGGAAGGUCCCCCACACUGGGAACUGAGACACGGUCCAGACUCCUACGGGAGGCAGCAGUGAGGAAUAUUGGUCAAUGGGCGGAAAGCCUGAACCAGCCAAGUAGCGUGCAGGACGACGGGCCCUAAUGGGUUGUAAACUAGCUUUUUCGCGGGGAUAAAGAGGGGGAUGCGUCCCCCGUUGCAGGUACCGCGUGAAUAAAGGAACCGGCUAAUUCCGUGCCAGCCGCCGCCGU
This 512-nucleotide ribosomal RNA is filed under the name uncultured bacterium. RNAcentral's name for it is "bacterial SSU rRNA". It matches the Rfam family "Bacterial small subunit ribosomal RNA", at positions 28 to 521 of the family's 1533-position model. The record is from RNAcentral.